This 429-nucleotide ribosomal RNA is filed under the name Chloroflexota bacterium. Its description in RNAcentral is "Chloroflexi bacterium partial 16S ribosomal RNA". It matches the Rfam family "Bacterial small subunit ribosomal RNA", at positions 355 to 776 of the family's 1533-position model. Lineage: Bacteria; Bacillati; Chloroflexota. The record is from RNAcentral.
UGGGGAAUAUUGCACAAUGGGCGCAAGCCUGAUGCAGCCAUGCCGCGUGUGUGAAGAAGGCCUUCGGGUUGUAAAGCACUUUCAGCGGGGAGGAAGGCGGUGAGGUUAAUAACCUCAUCGAUUGACGUUACCCGCAGAAGAAGCACCGGCUAACUCCGUGCCAGCAGCCGCGGUAAUACGGAGGGUGCAAGCGUUAAUCGGAAUUACUGGGCGUAAAGCGCACGCAGGCGGUCUGUCAAGUCGGAUGUGAAAUCCCCGGGCUCAACCUGGGAACUGCAUUCGAAACUGGCAGGCUAGAGUCUUGUAGAGGGGGGUAGAAUUCCAGGUGUAGCGGUGAAAUGCGUAGAGAUCUGGAGGAAUACCGGUGGCGAAGGCGGCCCCCUGGACAAAGACUGACGCUCAGGUGCGAAAGAGUGGGGAGCAAACAGG